GGGAGCUUCUUACAGCUUUUAACCACGUCCACAGCAGAGUUAGAGCCCCUUUGCUUCAGAUAAUUUCCAAAGACCAUCUGAAGAAUGUUUGGACUCGCUUGUGAAGGAUCAGGGAUAGAGACAUUUUCUGAAGCCCCUGGCUGGCUUGUUUGCAACACCAUCCCAAUAAAAAUUAAGCCCUCAGACACAAACUUAGGAAAGGAAAGAAGAAAACAGAAUUCUGAUAUAUUUCACAACCGUACUCUGAUCCCAGGAGAAAGAUUGGGUAAGAAACACUGAUCUUUCUUACAUAUCUGUCUGCAAAGUUUUCAGUAGUCCUCUUUUACUAGCAAUCUCUCCUGGAUUAGGUGAGCAAGUUGCCUAAUUGUUUCAGUGGAUUGCUUUAAUUGGUUCUCAUCCAAGCAGCAGAGGGGAUGUAGGAGCACAGCAUUUAACCGAGAGGAAAACAGCAUGUGGGAUGGGAGAAGGAAGGUACACCAUGAAGUUACCCUUGAAGACACCAUGAAGUGUGCAAAAUUUGCAGAUCUUCAUUUGCCAAGGAAAUGUGCUGAACCCAUAUAUGUGUGUGGAAUGGGACAAGGCACCUCCAGCAUGGGGGCCAGCUUCUUCCAAGCUGUCCUAUUACAUUUGCUGGAGCCCAGGAACCAGGGAGAGCCCACUUCACUGCCUGACUUCUCAAGAAUUGCAGAAUAGGCCUGUGCAACAUGAACCUGUCUGUUUCUACUGGGACCUGUCCAAGGGAUGGCUUCUUACCAUAUCUGGCCUGUCUGGAUCACAGUUACACCUACUGGUGUAUUUUCUGUGCCAUCAUUUUUCUGCUGUUUUCUAUGGUUUACUAUACAUUUCUCUGCUUUCUUUUUCUUUUUUCUUCCUAUACUCCUGCUAUUCUUGCAACAUGUGCAAAAAAGUGAACAAAAAUUAUUGCAGGACUUGAUGUGGCUACAUGGCCAUUUUUCCGCAA
This 961-nucleotide long non-coding RNA is filed under the name Serinus canaria (Common canary). RNAcentral describes it as "lncRNA (ENSSCAG00000004556.1)". Lineage: Eukaryota; Metazoa; Chordata; Aves; Passeriformes; Fringillidae. The record is from RNAcentral.